Molecule: transfer RNA, 77 nt
Filed under: Candidatus Heimdallarchaeota archaeon
Lineage: Archaea; Promethearchaeati; Candidatus Heimdallarchaeota
Also listed under: 1 other name
Description: tRNA-Pro
Rfam family: tRNA
About the family: Transfer RNA (tRNA) molecules are approximately 80 nucleotides in length. Their secondary structure includes four short double-helical elements and three loops (D, anti-codon, and T loops).
Source: RNAcentral
GGCCGGGUAGUCUAGCUUGGUAUGAUACUACCUUGGGGUGGUAGUGAUCGUGGGUUCGAAUCCCACCUCGGUCACCA